AUUGAACGCUGGCGGCAGGCCUAACACAUGCAAGUCGAACGGUAACAGGAAGAAGCUUGCUUCUUUGCUGACGAGUGGCGGACGGGUGAGUAAUGUCUGGGAAACUGCCUGAUGGAGGGGGAUAACUACUGGAAACGGUAGCUAAUACCGCAUAACGUCGCAAGACCAAAAAGGGGGACCUUCGGGCCUCUUGCCAUCGGAUGUGCCCAGAUGGGAUUAGCUAGUAGGUGGGGUAACGGCUCACCUAGGCGACGAUCCCUAGCUGGUCUGAGAGGAUGACCAGCCACACUGGAACUGAGACACGGUCCAGACUCCUACGGGAGGCAGCAGUGGGGAAUAUUGAACAAUGGGCGCAAGCCUGAUGCAGCCAUGCCGCGUGUAUGAAGAAGGCCUUCGGGUUGUAAAGUACUUUCAGCGGGGAGGAAGGGAGUAAAGUUAAUACCUUUGCUCAUUGACGUUACACGCAGAAGAAGCACCGGCUAACUCCGUG
Molecule: ribosomal RNA, 490 nt
Filed under: uncultured bacterium
Lineage: Bacteria
Description: partial 16S ribosomal RNA
Rfam family: Bacterial small subunit ribosomal RNA
Source: RNAcentral